This 253-nucleotide ribosomal RNA is filed under the name uncultured bacterium. Its description in RNAcentral is "partial 16S ribosomal RNA". It matches the Rfam family "Bacterial small subunit ribosomal RNA", at positions 524 to 776 of the family's 1533-position model. The record is from RNAcentral.
UACGUAGGGUGCAAGCGUUGUCCGGAAUUAUUGGGCGUAAAGAGCUCGUAGGCGGUCUGUCGCGUCUGCUGUGAAAACUCAGGGCUUAACCCUGAGCUUGCAGUGGGUACGGGCAGACUAGAGUGCGGUAGGGGAGACUGGAAUUCCUGGUGUAGCGGUGAAAUGCGUAGAUAUCCGGAGGAAUACCAGUGGCGAAGGCGGCUUGCUGGGUCUAGACUGACACUCAGACGCGAAAGCAUGGGGAGCGAACGGG